AGUGAACGCUGGCGGUAGGCCUAACACAUGCAAGUCGAACGGCAGCACAGAGAGCUUGCUCUCGGGUGACGAGUGGCGGACGGGUGAGUAAUGUCUGGGGAUCUGCCCGAUAGAGGGGGAUAACCACUGGAAACGGUGGCUAAUACCGCAUAACGUCGCAAGACCAAAGAGGGGGACCUUCGGGCCUCUCACUAUCGGAUGAACCCAGAUGGGAUUAGCUAGUAGGCGGGGUAACGGCCCACCUAGGCGACGAUCCCUAGCUGGUCUGAGAGGAUGACCAGCCACACUGGAACUGAGACACGGUCCAGACUCCUACGGGAGGCAGCAGUGGGGAAUAUUGCACAAUGGGCGCAAGCCUGAUGCAGCCAUGCCGCGUGUAUGAAGAAGGCCUUCGGGUUGUAAAGUACUUUCAGCGGGGAGGAAGGCGAUGUGGUUAAUAACCGUAUCGAUUGACGUUACCCGCAGAAGAAGCACCGGCUAACUCCGUGCCAGCAGCCGCCGUAA
This 504-nucleotide ribosomal RNA is filed under the name uncultured bacterium. RNAcentral describes it as "partial 16S ribosomal RNA". It matches the Rfam family "Bacterial small subunit ribosomal RNA", at positions 29 to 523 of the family's 1533-position model. The record is from RNAcentral.